RNAcentral lists this ribosomal RNA (492 nucleotides) under uncultured bacterium. RNAcentral describes it as "partial 16S ribosomal RNA". It matches the Rfam family "Bacterial small subunit ribosomal RNA", at positions 29 to 507 of the family's 1533-position model. The record is from RNAcentral.
AGUGAACGCUGGCGGUAGGCCUAACACAUGCAAGUCGAACGGCAGCACAGUAAGAGCUUGCUCUUACGGGUAGCGAGUGGCGGACGGGUGAGGAAUACAUCGGAAUCUACUUUUUCGUGGGGGAUAACGUAGGGAAACUUACGCUAAUACCGCAUACGACCUACGGGUGAAAGCAGGGGAUCUUCGGACCUUGCGCGAUUGAAUGAGCCGAUGUCGGAUUAGCUGGUUGGCGGGGUAAAGGCCCACCAAGGCGACGAUCCGUAGCUGGUCUGAGAGGAUGAUCAGCCACACUGGAACUGAGACACGGUCCAGACUCCUACGGGAGGCAGCAGUGGGGAAUAUUGGACAAUGGGCGCAAGCCUGAUCCAGCCAUACCGCGUGGGUGAAGAAGGCCUUCGGGUUGUAAAGCCCUUUUGUUGGGAAAGAAAAGCAGCAGGUUAAUACCCCGCUGCUCUGACGGUACCCAAAGAAUAAGCACCGGCUAACUUCGUG